Small nucleolar RNA from Nycticebus coucang (slow loris), 112 nucleotides. RefSeq annotates it as small nucleolar RNA SNORA77. NCBI's taxonomy places the organism in Eukaryota, Metazoa, Chordata, Mammalia, Primates, Lorisidae. The record is from RefSeq and is a predicted model, not a curated record. The transcript has a single exon.
GUAUGUGUUCUCUAGAAAAGGACUCGUUUUUCUGUCUACCAGAGAAAUAGUCCAGGUGCUGCAGCUGCCUGACCGACUGUCAAGGGCAAUGCGGCUGCCUGGGGACACAGGU